ACGGGUGAGUAACACGUGGGCAACCUGCCCUUGAGACUGGGAUAACUUCGGGAAACCGGAGCUAAUACCGGAUAAUAUAAGGAACCUCCUGGUUCCUUGUUGAAAGAUGGUUUCGGCUAUCACUUAAGGAUGGGCCCGCGGCGCAUUAGCUAGUUGGUGAGGUAACGGCUCACCAAGGCGACGAUGCGUAGCCGACCUGAGAGGGUGAUCGGCCACACUGGGACUGAGACACGGCCCAGACUCCUACGGGAGGCAGCAGUAGGGAAUCUUCCACAAUGGACGAAAGUCUGAUGGAGCAACGCCGCGUGGGUGAUGAAGGCCUUCGGGUCGUAAAGCUCUGUUGUUAGGGAAGAACAAGUGCGAGAGUAACUGCUCGCACCUUGACGGUACCUAACCAGAAAGCCACGGCUAACUACGUGCCAGCAGCCGCGGUAAUACGUAGGUGGCAAGCGUUAUCCGGAAUUAUUGGGCGUAAAGCGCGCGCAGGUGGUUUCUUAAGUCUGAUGUGAAAGCCCACGGCUCAACCGUGGAGGGUCAUUGGAAACUGGGGAACUUGAGUGCAGAAGAGGAAAGUGGAAUUCCAAGUG
This 587-nucleotide ribosomal RNA is filed under the name uncultured bacterium. RNAcentral's name for it is "bacterial SSU rRNA". It matches the Rfam family "Bacterial small subunit ribosomal RNA", at positions 102 to 675 of the family's 1533-position model. The record is from RNAcentral.